GACGAACGCUGGCGGCGUGCUUAACACAUGCAAGUCGUACGGUAAGGCCCUUUCGGGGGUACACGAGUGGCGGACGGGUGAGUAACACGUGAGUAACCUGCCCACCACUUUGGGAUAACGCUAGGAAACUGGUGCUAAUACUGGAUAUGUGCUACUGCUGCAUGGUGGGGGUGGGAAAGCUCCGGCGGUUGUGGAUGGACUCGCGGCCUAUCUGCUUGUUGGUGGGGUAGUGGGCUACCAAGGCGGCGACGGGGAGCCGGCCUGAGGGGGUGACCGGCCACAUUGGGGCCUGGGUACGGCCCAGAACCCUACGGGAGGCAGGAGUGGGGAAGAUUGCCCAAUGGGCGCAAGGCUGAUGCAGCAACGCCGCGGGCGGGAGGACGGCCUUCGGGUUGGAAACCGCUUUCAGCAGGGACGAAGGUUUUUGUGACGGUACCUGCAGAAGAAGCACCGGCUAACUACGUG
This 465-nucleotide ribosomal RNA is filed under the name uncultured bacterium. Its description in RNAcentral is "partial 16S ribosomal RNA". It matches the Rfam family "Bacterial small subunit ribosomal RNA", at positions 28 to 507 of the family's 1533-position model. The record is from RNAcentral.